CGAAGGGUUCAACCCUUUCGGGCGCCGCAUCUCUGCGGUGGGCUUUGGAGGAAACCCGGGGAACCCUACGGUAACUUCGUCAAUCUUGCUCCCAUCGCUUACCGAUCCAGCUGGGAGUCGAAGAAUUGUAAUCCCAUCAAACCUGCCUGCGUUCCGAGCCGGCCCUGAUCCAAACCAGACCAUGUGCCGUCCCUGAGAUCGAUUCACUCCCUCCUCCCCUCCUUUUUUUCUCAAACCCACCUUCGUCUCUCUCCCCUCGCCAACCUCUUCUCUUCCUCCGCUGUUUCUCGAACCCCAAGCUCGCAUCUUUCUGGACCAGAGGCUGAUUGCCUGCCAAAUAUAUAUAUAUGUAGAGAGAUGGCUCGACUGUUGAGUCGCCGCCUAAACUUGUUUUCGUUCCUCCAGACCAUUCGACCCCGUUUUCCUCUAUCUCCAGCUUCCAAAAGAUUGGAAGUUUCAUUUUAUUUGGAGAUGGAGCACGGUAGAGGAAGAGCCAUUGGCGGACAUUCGGUUCCCACCAUGCAAGUAUCCCGAUCCUAUGCUCGUGAACGCACACGUUAUAAUUUGUUUGGUAGUGGAGGACCGGGCAAUCAAGAGUUCAGAAAAGCCUGGGCAAAGGAGAUGGAUGAGGAUGACUGCCUGUGGACGGCAAGUGAGGAUGAAGAUGAAGAAGAUAAUGAAAAAAAUAAGAGCAAUUUGGAGAAGGAAAUUAAGAAAUUGAGAAAGACGGCUAAGGAAAAUGCAGACCUUAUUGAUGCCGAUGAGAGUGAUGAGCUGAGAAGUAUAUGCUCUGAAAGUGACGAGGAGAUGACUUUGUGGAGUGGUAGUGAAUGGGAUGAUGAUGAUGACAUUCCUACUGAUGCCCACCCAAAUGAGCGCAGUGAUCCACAUAUAGACAAAUUGUUUGAGUUUGAGGAAACACCUAAAUAUCGAUCCAUCUCAGAGUUGCUGAAAGCUGAAAAGGAGCCUCCAGAGCUGUCUCCAGGAAAGCAAGCUAGAAAGCUUGCUGUAGAAAAUGCACUGAAGAAGUUGAAGAAAGGGCCAGAUGGCCGCUAUAUAAACGUGUUGGAGGUCAUGAGUGAUAUAGAUAUACUGAUUGGAGCUUUUGAAAACAUUGUUUCAGGACCAGAGUAUGCAGAGCUGCGAGAGGGAGGGCCUAAAAGGCUAAACAUACAGUUCUUUAAGGACAUACAAGCACGUAUGAGAGAUCCAAAUUUUAAAUUUUCUCCUGAGUUAAAGCUAAAACCAAAGAAGAAAUUAGUUCCAAGAAAAAAGUGGCAAAAAGCUCAGUCUAGACGGAGGAAAAAUGAGAGGCGAUAAGAAGAGUUUAUUGGGAUUUUUGACAUCAUGAUUGCUGGUGGGGAUACUGGUGUUGCGUGCAUGUAUAAUGUGCGUGUAACAACUAACAACAUCCAUCCAGCCAGCCAGCCAUCGGUCUUUAUGUACAUGUACUUGUUUCUUCCAUCAACUGGGAGUUUUAAUUAAUUGUAUGUGAUGUUGCCACACCUGGUUCUGAUUCAAGACCCUCUGCAGGUGAGUACUCUUUGAAGCAUUAUGAGCGGUAAGAUUAGGGUGUCUAGAGUACAAAGGAUAAAGGGCACAUGGAUAUGGGCUUUAGAUUGAGGCCAUUUUCAAUUUGUAGGAAUUUGAAGGUUAAAAUAGGUAAUGGUUUCCAAUGCGACCUAUUUCCGUGUUUUGUAACUAAUUUGGACAUGGGAAUGUUGAUCCUCUAGGUAUCAAAUUCCCAUAUAAAGAAGAAACAAUUCCUAAGAGGGGGGGCUUGGGUAUUUUUUUCCCAAUGUUGGAUAUGUAUUUAAAUGAUACAAAAAAGAUUCUUUUUUGCAUUAUAAUUAUUAAAAUUAAUUAUGCAUA
Phoenix dactylifera (date palm) is the source of this 1872-nucleotide RNA transcript. It is a transcript of the gene named glutamyl-tRNA (Gln) amidotransferase subunit C, with no coding region annotated. The record is from RefSeq and is a predicted model, not a curated record. NCBI's taxonomy places the organism in Eukaryota, Viridiplantae, Streptophyta, Magnoliopsida, Arecales, Arecaceae.